This 375-nucleotide ribosomal RNA is filed under the name Anaplasma phagocytophilum. RNAcentral describes it as "bacterial SSU rRNA". It matches the Rfam family "Bacterial small subunit ribosomal RNA", at positions 81 to 491 of the family's 1533-position model. Lineage: Bacteria; Pseudomonadati; Pseudomonadota; Alphaproteobacteria; Rickettsiales; Anaplasmataceae. The record is from RNAcentral.
AUGAAGAAUAAUUAGUGGCAGACGGGUGAGUAAUGCAUAGGAAUCUACCUAGUAGUAUGGGAUAGCCACUAGAAAUGGUGGGUAAUACUGUAUAAUCCCUGCGGGGGAAAGAUUUAUCGCUAUUAGAUGAGCCUAUGUUAGAUUAGCUAGUUGGUAGGGUAAAGGCCUACCAAGGCGAUGAUCUAUAGCUGGUCUGAGAGGAUGAUCAGCCACACUGGAACUGAGAUACGGUCCAGACUCCUACGGGAGGCAGCAGUGGGGAAUAUUGGACAAUGGGCGCAAGCCUGAUCCAGCUAUGCCGCGUGAGUGAGGAAGGCCUUAGGGUUGUAAAACUCUUUCAGUAGGGAAGAUAAUGACGGUACCUACAGAAGAAGU